RNAcentral lists this ribosomal RNA (253 nucleotides) under uncultured bacterium. RNAcentral's name for it is "partial 16S ribosomal RNA". It matches the Rfam family "Bacterial small subunit ribosomal RNA", at positions 524 to 776 of the family's 1533-position model. The record is from RNAcentral.
GACGGGGGGGGCAAGUGUUCUUCGGAAUUACUGGGCGUAAAGCGCACGCAGGCGGUUUGUUAAGUCAGAUGUGAAAUCCCCGGGCUCAACCUGGGAACUGCAUCUGAUACUGGCAAGCUUGGGUCUCGUAGAGGGGGGUAGAAUUCCAGGUGUAGCGGUGAAAUGCGUAGAGAUCUGGAGGAAUACCAGUGGCGAAGGCGGCCUUCUGGACUGACACUGACGCUGAGGCGCGAAAGCGUGGGUAGCAAACAGG